RNAcentral lists this long non-coding RNA (1262 nucleotides) under Felis catus (domestic cat). RNAcentral's name for it is "lncRNA (ENSFCAG00000041032.2)". Lineage: Eukaryota; Metazoa; Chordata; Mammalia; Carnivora; Felidae. The record is from RNAcentral.
GUAAGCAUUCCCCUACAUUCUGGUUUGCCAUGCCAAUGGGUAUUUGUGUGUGUGUGUGUGUGUGUGUGUGUGUGUGUGUGUGUGUGUGUGUGUUUGUGUUGGAAUGAAUUCCAAUGGAACCUACCUUCCUCUGACAGUUCAAUUCUGGGCAUAAGCCAAAGAAGCAAAUGUUGUUUAUCAUUCCUAUUGUAUCAUGCAGGAUAUGAAAAUCUAAAUAACCCAGAAUUAAUUGCUCCUAAAUUUUGUUACCUCAAACUCUGCUCCCCUAGGUAUCUGUAUUUACCAUGCCGCAGCAUACUACCUCACACACCUCUCUUGUUACUGCACUAUGAAGUCCUGGGAGUUAUGGAGCCAAAUAUAUGUGAAGAAACUAGGAAACCACAAAGAGCAGUGAUGUUUGCAGGGCUGAAGCACACUGAGGAUUCUUCCCAUCCAGGGACCAAAGUGUCUGAUACGAUGGAUGGACUGGUUUCCUGGAUUGCCAAAGGAUCCUUUGGAGAUGCGAGGACUCCCUGUGCCUUGGAUCUACCUCUCCCUGAACAUCAUACAGUCAUUGACUCUGAAAUCUUGCUCCCUUACCAUAGAGCUGCCACCAAAUAGUUUGGGAGCCUUCCCUGUAGUGGGAUGCCCUCAGCAGCACUUGCCUCAUCUUAUUACAGCAAAGAGCCACUUGGUCCCUGUUUCGCUCAAAAGAACUAUCUCCUUGAGAAGUAUCAAUCUCUUCAUUGAACAUAGGCUUUUACAACAGUAGGAAUGUGUAUUGACUAUGAAGUGUUUCCUCUUCCAUCUUGAAAAAAAAAGAGCAAGAUAAGAAUAAUUUAAAUGUUUAUUUUUAUUUUUGAGAGAGAAGGGAGAGGAAGAGUGCAAGUGGGGGAGAGGGGCAGAGAGAGAAUCUUAAGCAUGUUCCAUACUCAAUACAGAGCCUGACACUGGGUUGGAUCCUACGACCCUGGGAUCAUGACCUGAGCCGAAAUCAAGAGUCAGAUGCUUAACCAACUGAGCCACCCAGGCACCCCAAGAAUAAUUUGAAAAUAGGAACCUGCUUUCCCGGGCACCUGGGUGGCUCAGUUAAGCAUCUGACUCUUGAUUUCCUCUCAGGUCAUAAUUGGAUGGUCAUGAGAGCGAGGCCUGCUUUGGCUCUAUACUGGGCUUGGAAGCUACUUAAGAUUCUCUCUCUCUUCCUCAGCCAUUCCCUGCACGCACAUGUCUCUCUCUCUCAAGAAAAAAAUAAAUAAAUAAAACUUUAUUUAUUUUUAUAAAUA